Molecule: ribosomal RNA, 253 nt
Filed under: uncultured bacterium
Lineage: Bacteria
Description: partial 16S ribosomal RNA
Rfam family: Bacterial small subunit ribosomal RNA
Source: RNAcentral
AACGUAGGAGACGAACGUUAUCCGGAGUUACUGGGCGUAAAGGGCUCGUAGGCGGCCAACUAAGUCAGACGUGAAAUCCCUCGGCUUAACCGGGGAACUGCAUCUGAUACUGGAUGGCUUGAGUUCGGGAGAGGGAUGCGGAAUUCCAGGUGUAGCGGUGAAAUGCGUAGAUAUCUGGAGGAACACCGGUGGCGAAGGCGGCAUCCUGGACCGACACUGACGCUGAGGAGCGAAAGCCAGGGGAGCAAACGGG